RNAcentral lists this ribosomal RNA (1000 nucleotides) under uncultured organism. RNAcentral describes it as "bacterial SSU rRNA". It matches the Rfam family "Bacterial small subunit ribosomal RNA", at positions 356 to 1376 of the family's 1533-position model. The record is from RNAcentral.
GGGGGAUAUUGCGCAAUGGGGGCAACCCUGACGCAGCAACGCCGCGUGAAGGAUGAAGGUUUUCGGAUUGUAAACUUCUUUUAUUAAGGACGAAAAAUGACGGUACUUAAUGAAUAAGCUCCGGCUAACUACGUGCCAGCAGCCGCGGUAAUACGUAGGGAGCAAGCGUUGUCCGGAUUUACUGGGUGUAAAGGGUGCGUAGGCGGCUUUGCAAGUCAGAUGUGAAAUCUAUGGGCUCAACCCAUAAACUGCAUUUGAAACUGUAGAGCUUGAGUGAAGUAGAGGCAGGCGGAAUUCCCCGUGUAGCGGUGAAAUGCGUAGAGAUGGGGAGGAACACCAGUGGCGAAGGCGGCCUGCUGGGCUUUAACUGACGCUGGGGCACGAAAGCGUGGGUAGCAAACAGGAUUAGAUACCCUGGUAGUCCACGCUGUAAACGAUGAUUACUAGGUGUGGGGGGUCUGACCCCUUCCGUGCCGGAGUUAACACAAUAAGUAAUCCACCUGGGGAGUACGGCCGCAAGGUUGAAACUCAAAGGAAUUGACGGGGGCCCGCACAAGCAGUGGAGUAUGUGGUUUAAUUCGAAGCAACGCGAAGAACCUUACCAGGUCUUGACAUCCAACUAACGAAGUAGAGAUACAUUAGGUGCCCUUCGGGGAAAGUUGAGACAGGUGGUGCAUGGUUGUCGUCAGCUCGUGUCGUGAGAUGUUGGGUUAAGUCCCGCAACGAGCGCAACCCUUGCUAUUAGUUGCUACGCAAGAGCACUCUAAUAGGACUGCCGUUGACAAAACGGAGGAAGGUGGGGACGACGUCAAAUCAUCAUGCCCCUUAUGACCUGGGCUACACACGUACUACAAUGGAUGUUAACAGAGGGAAGCAAGACAGCGAUGUGGAGCAAACCCCUAAAAACAUUCUCAGUUCAGAUUGCAGGCUGCAACCCGCCUGCAUGAAGAUGGAAUUGCUAGUAAUCGCGGAUCAGCAUGCCGCGGUGAAUACGUUCCCG